UAACCUUAUUUGAUUUCACGA
RNAcentral lists this microRNA (21 nucleotides) under Malus domestica (apple). RNAcentral describes it as "mdm-miR10997". The record is from miRBase by way of RNAcentral. Lineage: Eukaryota; Viridiplantae; Streptophyta; Magnoliopsida; Rosales; Rosaceae.